CAGACCCAUGCAGGAGACCUCUCCAGGUACACAUAUUUCCUGCUACUGAAUGGCUUAGACUGGGAUUUGCAAGGAACUACGAAGUCCAAGACCUUUGCCUUUCUUUUAGAAGAAGGCACCAGCUGGUUCUCCAAUGUUGAAGGUCUUCUCCAGAGAUGAACUCUGAAAGCCACAUGUUGAGAUGGCCCCAUUACAGGAUGGAGAGCACCUGAACCCCCAAGUUAUGGACUAGAAGAAGACAGUUGCCCUGGAAAAUCAUCUGACCCACAUUGGACUUUAUGUGAGGGGGAAAUAAACCUUUAUUAUGUUAAGCUACACAAUAAUAAAUAACAACAAUAAUUGUGUUUAUUUGUUA
Molecule: long non-coding RNA, 355 nt
Filed under: Homo sapiens (human)
Lineage: Eukaryota; Metazoa; Chordata; Mammalia; Primates; Hominidae
Description: non-protein coding lnc-SLC39A11-1:30
Source: RNAcentral